CCAAAGACCAGGCCGUCGGCUUCAACUACUUCGACCGAAGUUGCGGGCGAAAUCGUCGGCAAUCCCGGUCUUCUCGCGCGGCCAUGGCAGCAUUCCCUGGGGCUCGCUUGGACUCGGCCACUACAGCUAUAAAGGCGAGACCCUACCCUCGUUACCCUCCUGUUGCCUCAACUCCUUGUGACGCUCCUACCAAAACACCACGCACCAGGAGAGCAGAAGAAGAACACGAGAGAGAGAAAGAACGCUGCCGCGGAUCCAGGGGCAGGGCUAACCAUCGCAAGUCUUCCGGUUUGCGCCACCAGGAUGCGACGCCUCAUGCCGUGGACAAGUCCUGGUGCCAUGGAUCGCUAGUGGAGAACCUCACUGAUGUUCGCUGGGCCGAGUAGAAACUAGGGAGACCACCAAUUCUGCGGUUGCCACUUGGGGAGACCAGAAUUCGCCGUUGGCGGCCGACCACCACGACGGAGCUUCGAUGCGCUGUGGGCCAGGGUCCCUACCUCAUCCCCGUCGUGCGGUCACAAGGAUUUGAAGAAUCACCCUGGUAACUGGAAUCUCAAGUGCCAGGCAAG
Molecule: long non-coding RNA, 569 nt
Organism: Zea mays
Lineage: Eukaryota; Viridiplantae; Streptophyta; Magnoliopsida; Poales; Poaceae
Exons: 3
Source: RefSeq, a predicted model, not a curated record